RNAcentral lists this ribosomal RNA (447 nucleotides) under uncultured bacterium. RNAcentral's name for it is "partial 16S ribosomal RNA". It matches the Rfam family "Bacterial small subunit ribosomal RNA", at positions 338 to 795 of the family's 1533-position model. The record is from RNAcentral.
CCUACGGGGGGCAGCAGUGGGGAAUAUUGGACAAUGGGCGGAAGCCUGAUCCAGCAAUACCGCGUGUGUGAAGAAGGCCUGAGGGUUGUAAAGCACUUUCACUGGGGAGGAAAAAGGUAAUCUUAAUACGGUUGCCCUUGACAUUACCUAGAGAAGAAGCACCGGCUAACUCCGUGCCAGCAGCCGCGGUAAUACGGAGGGUGCGAGCGUUAAUCGGCGUUACUGGGCGUAAAGCGUGCGUAGACGGUAAAGCCCUGGGCUCAACCUGGGAACGGCAUUUGAAACUGGCUUGCUAGAGUUAGGUAGAGGGGAGUGGAAUUUCAGGUGUAGCGGUGAAAUGCGUAGAUAUCUGAAGGAACACCAGUGGCGAAGGCGGCUCCCUGGACCCAAACUGACGCUGAGGUACGAAAGCGUGGGUAGCAAACAGGAUUAGAUACCCCUGUAGUC